This 491-nucleotide ribosomal RNA is filed under the name uncultured bacterium. RNAcentral describes it as "partial 16S ribosomal RNA". It matches the Rfam family "Bacterial small subunit ribosomal RNA", at positions 29 to 506 of the family's 1533-position model. The record is from RNAcentral.
AGUGAACGCUGGCGGUAGGCCUAACACAUGCAAGUCGAACGGCAGCACAGUAAGAGCUUGCUCUUACGGGUGGCGAGUGGCGGACGGGUGAGGAAUACAUCGGAAUCUACUUUUUCGUGGGGGAUAACGUAGGGAAACUUACGCUAAUACCGCAUACGACCUACGGGUGAAAGCAGGGGAUCUUCGGACCUUGCGCGAUUGAAUGAGCCGAUGUCGGAUUAGCUAGUUGGCGGGGUAAAGGCCCACCAAGGCGACGAUCCGUAGCUGGUCUGAGAGGAUGACCGGCCACAUUGGAAUUGAGACACGUUCCAGAUCCCUACGGGAGGCAGAAGUGGGGAAUAUUGGACAAGGGGCGCAAGCCGGAUCCAGCCAUACCGCGUGGGUGAAGAAGGCCUUCGGGUUGUAAAGCCCUUUUGUUGGGAAAGAAAAGCAGCAGGUUAAUACCCCGCUGUUCUGACGGUACCCAAAGAAUAAGCACCGGCUAACUUCGU